RNAcentral lists this ribosomal RNA (517 nucleotides) under Paralithodes platypus (blue king crab). Its description in RNAcentral is "partial 16S ribosomal RNA". It matches the Rfam family "Bacterial large subunit ribosomal RNA", at positions 1831 to 2597 of the family's 2925-position model. The record is from RNAcentral. Lineage: Eukaryota; Metazoa; Arthropoda; Malacostraca; Decapoda; Lithodidae.
GUCUAUAUGAAGGUGUAUAUAGUUUGGCCUGCUCACUGAUUAAAUUAAAGAGCCGCAGUAUUUUGACUGUGCGAAGGUAGCAUAAUAAAUUGUCUUUUAAUUAAAGGCUUGAAUGAAAGGUUGGACAAAGUAUCAUCUGUUUCUUAAAUAUUUAUUGAAUUUGACUUUUAAGUGAAAAGGCUUAAAUAAAUCAAAAAGACGAUAAGACCCUAUAAAUCUUUACAAUAAAUAUAUUUUAUAUUUUAGCUUAUAAGUAAAUAAGAAAUAAAAAUAUAGGUUUGUUACGCUGGGGCGGCGUAGAUAUAUAAAUAAACUGUCUAUAGUUUAAAUACAAUAAUUAUUGCUUAAUACAAAUUGAUCCUUAAAUAGAUUAAAAGAUUAAGAUACUUUAGGGAUAACAGCGUUAUUUUUUUUGAGAGUUCUUAUCGAAGAAAAAGUUUGCGACCUCGAUGUUGAAUUAAAGUAUCUUUAUGGUGUAGCCGCUAUAAGAGAGAGUCUGUUCGACUUUUAAUACUUU